GCCCUUCCCAUCACUGGGGCAAUGAACCUGGCCUCACCACACUGUGUCCUGCUGAGAUGUGUUGUCUGCUCAUUGCUCCUUUCAGAAAAGCCUGCGAGAGAGAGGAAAUGAAACAGAGAUGGAAGGAAAUGCAACCCUGGGCAUGAGUAAUGUGCUCAUUAUUCAUCAUCUACAAUCCAACCUGGAAUCCGUGAAGGCAAACGAGGUGAGAGUCUGUAUCUAAACAUGCCAAACACACCGGGUCUUUCUUUUUGAGUUGUUUAGACGUGAUCACCCA
Molecule: long non-coding RNA, 277 nt
Filed under: Homo sapiens (human)
Lineage: Eukaryota; Metazoa; Chordata; Mammalia; Primates; Hominidae
Description: LHRI_LNC1235.5
Source: RNAcentral